AUACGGGGGGAGCAAGCGUUGUUCGGAUUUACUGGGCGUAAGGGGCGCGUAGGCGGCGCGACAAGUCACUUGUGAAAUCUCUGGGCUCAACCCAGAACGGUCAAGUGAUACUGUCGUGCUAGAGUGCGGAAGGGGCAACUGGAAUUCUUGGUGCAGCGGUGAAAUGCGUAGAUAUCAAGAGGAACACCUGCGGCGAAGGCGGGUUGCUGGGCCGACACUGACGCUGAGGCGCGAAAGCUAGGGGAGCGAACGGGA
RNAcentral lists this ribosomal RNA (255 nucleotides) under uncultured prokaryote. RNAcentral describes it as "partial 16S ribosomal RNA". It matches the Rfam family "Bacterial small subunit ribosomal RNA", at positions 523 to 777 of the family's 1533-position model. The record is from RNAcentral.